Molecule: ribosomal RNA, 465 nt
Filed under: uncultured bacterium
Lineage: Bacteria
Description: partial 16S ribosomal RNA
Rfam family: Bacterial small subunit ribosomal RNA
Source: RNAcentral
GACGAACGCUGGCGGCGUGCUUAACACAUGCCAGUCGUACGGUAAGGCCCUUUCGGGGGUACACGAGUGGCGAACGGGUGAGUAACACGUGAGUAACCUGCCCACAACUUUGGGAUAACGCUAGGAAACUGGUGCUAAUACUGGAUAUGUGCUCCUGCUGCAUGGUGGGGGUUGGAAAGCUCCGGCGGUUGUGGAUGGACUCGCGGCCUAUCAGCUUGUUGGUGGGGUAGUGGCCUACCAAGGCGGCGACGGGUAGCCGGCCUGGGAGGGUGACCGGCCACAUUGGGACUGAGAUACGGCCCAGACUCCUACGGGAGGCAGCAGUGGGGAAUAUUGCACAAUGGGCGCAAGCCUGAUGCAGCAACGCCGCGUGCGGGAUGACGGCCUUCGGGUUGUAAACCGCUUUCAGCAGGGACGAAGCUUUUUGUGACGGUACCUGCAGAAGAAGCACCGGCUAACUACGUG